Non-coding RNA from Acanthosepion pharaonis, 108 nucleotides. Lineage: Eukaryota; Metazoa; Mollusca; Cephalopoda; Sepiida; Sepiidae. The record is from the annotation of a GenBank genome assembly.
UACAGCCGUAUCAUGAUGGAACACCGGUUUCCGUACGAUCACUGAAGUUAAGCAACGUCGAACCUGGUCAGUACCUAGAUGUGUGACCACUUGGGUAUACCAGGUGCU